RNAcentral lists this ribosomal RNA (501 nucleotides) under uncultured bacterium. RNAcentral describes it as "bacterial SSU rRNA". It matches the Rfam family "Bacterial small subunit ribosomal RNA", at positions 8 to 526 of the family's 1533-position model. The record is from RNAcentral.
AGAGUUUGAUCAUGGCUCAGGACGAACGCUGGCGGCGUGCUUAACACAUGCAAGUCGAACGAUGAAGCCUUUCGGGGUGGAUUAGUGGCGAACGGGUGAGUAACACGUGGGCAAUCUGCCCUGCACUCUGGGACAAGCCCUGGAAACGGGGUCUAAUACCGGAUAAUACUUUUCCCUGCAUGGGGAAGGGUUGAAAGCUCCGGCGGUGCAGGAUGAGCCCGCGGCCUAUCAGCUUGUUGGUGGGGUGAUGGCCUACCAAGGCGACGACGGGUAGCCGGCCUGAGAGGGCGACCGGCCACACUGGGACUGAGACACGGCCCAGACUCCUACGGGAGGCAGCAGUGGGGAAUAUUGCACAAUGGGCGAAAGCCUGAUGCAGCGACGCCGCGUGAGGGAUGACGGCCUUCGGGUUGUAAACCUCUUUCAGCAGGGAAGAAGCGCAAGUGACGGUACCUGCAGAAGAAGCGCCGGCUAACUACGUGCCAGCCGCCGCGGUAAUAC